Molecule: non-coding RNA, 177 nt
Filed under: Sporomusa malonica
Lineage: Bacteria; Bacillati; Bacillota; Negativicutes; Selenomonadales; Sporomusaceae
Description: 6S / SsrS RNA
Rfam family: 6S / SsrS RNA
About the family: E. coli 6S RNA was the first non coding RNA to be sequenced, but its function was unknown until recently. It consists of 184 nucleotides that fold into an extended hairpin structure with a large single-stranded internal bulge. The 6S RNA specifically associates with RNA polymerase holoenzyme containing the sigma70 specificity factor.
Source: Rfam by way of RNAcentral
UAUUGCCUGAGGUGCCCGUAACCUCUUAUAUGUUCAACCGACUCAUUUACCUGGGGAGUUUGAUGUUAUGCAGCUGCCAAGCCUCCUAAGAGUGGACGGCAAAAGCAUAAAUACAAAAACGCCCACCUGCGAGAAGCGGGUAUUGAACAUACGAGAGAACGGUACGUUGGGCUUACA